GAUUCUCUCUUAAAAAUCCUAUCUUUUUUCUUGUAUAGGCCAUAAAGAUUCAACCCCAACAACAAUAAUCAGAAGAAGGAGAAGAGUAAGCCAUUUUUCUGUUCUUUCUCUUUUUCCCCUUCUUUUCGUUUUUCAAUUAAAAAAUAAGAGACUAUUUCUUCUACGAGGAGAUUUUGGAGCUGCAGAGAUCUCAUAUAGAACAAAAAACUGAAAAAAGGGCUUGUGCUGCCUCAAAAUCUCUAU
Molecule: unclassified non-coding RNA, 243 nt
Filed under: Hevea brasiliensis (rubber tree)
Lineage: Eukaryota; Viridiplantae; Streptophyta; Magnoliopsida; Malpighiales; Euphorbiaceae
Source: RNAcentral